This 14702-nucleotide long non-coding RNA is filed under the name Medicago truncatula (barrel medic). Its description in RNAcentral is "long non-coding RNA (MTRU_LNC008775)". Lineage: Eukaryota; Viridiplantae; Streptophyta; Magnoliopsida; Fabales; Fabaceae. The record is from RNAcentral.
AAGAAAUUUGAGAACCACCACCAUUGAAAAGAACUUGAUCAGAAUGUAGAAGACCUUUAUUAGCAAUAAGGUCCUUAUAAUAAUUGUUGUCAAAUUUAGUUGGAGUGACAGAAUCAAAGGGUGCUAAAUUGGUGUCACCACCAGAGGUAGGGCAAUUUCUUUUUCUUAAGGUAGCCAAGUUUCUGUCAAUGUUGGCUUCAUUGUGUAUGCGAUUUCUGAAAAAUUGACACUCAGUUUGCCCUAUGGUGUGUGCACCAGAUAGGACUGUAAGGUCAUUUAAUGUUAGACUUUUGUUUUGAAACAUUCUAGUGAGUGUCGAUAGGUCAGAAGAUGGUCCAGGGAUUUGGCUAUUUGCUGCACUUUGACUUGCUGUUCUUGCAUCUCUUCUUCCAAGUGGUACUGCCCAUGAGGGUCCUCCAAGCUAUAUAAAUUAAUUGAAACAUGGUUAUAGGAUACACAUAUUGUUUAUAUAUAGGGUUAAUAUUUUUUACAUAGGGGUAAACCAGAAACCAUUAAUAUUAUAGAGGUUAAACAUAUAUUAACCCUAGUUUAUAUUUCAUGUCUUAUAGGACACACAUAUAUGACUUACCAAUGCAAUUCCAUCUCUAGUUGCAAGUGCAAGAAUAUCAGCACAAGAGACGGUGGCUUUGCAAGCAGUUUCAACACUGGUUUUAAUUGUAUCAAUCACUUCAAAACCCCUAGCUGAACCUUGGUUAGGUCCAGAAUUUUUCUCACCGACAAAUGUUCCUUUGUCAUCCAAUAAGAUUGAUGCAUCGCAUCCCUACCAAAUAAACAAAAAUAAAACUCACACAUGUUAAUGUAAUUUUUUUUACAGAAAAUAAAGAUAACCCGUGACUAAAAUAGUAACUGAAGUCUAGCCCGUGAUUUUUUUUUGUUUUGAAAAAAGAAUAUAAUAUUUAUUACUGUAACUUCACUAUGGAGCAGGAGUAGUUUAUUAUGUGAUGUUAAAAACACAUGCAUGAUAGUAAUAUUCAUUGCUUUUUGAAUUUGUUUACUACAAAAAAUUGUGAUCAAACUUACAACAUACAAGCUAAUAACAUAAAACGAUAAGAUGUCAACAAAAAAUAUUGAAAAAUUAAAAUGAUUGAGAUAAUCUUGUCUCCUAAUCUGUAACAUUGACGUCAGAGUCAUUAAUUGAAUAUGCAAUGAAUCAAAGAUGAUAUAUGAUAUGUCAAUAUGAUCUAAACGAGAGCACCGCAAGAAGAUUUAUAAUAAGAGGACAAGGAUUGCUCUAACCCUUCAUACAACAAAACGAGUUACAAACUUAAGAAACCCAAAGAAAUCAAUCCUUACAUUUCUCUCUUAUCUACGAAUAAACCACACCCCAAGACAAUAUUUUAACACGAUUCACGACUACACCAAUUUUAUCCACCAAACCUUUAAACAUAACUCUAAUCAAACAACACCAAUUCUAUCAAAGUUUUGACGUAAAAAAAAACAUUUCUCUUCUACAUUAAAUCUCAAGAAACUCAUCUCAUCUAAAUUAUAUAAGUUAUGGAGUGAUAAAGAUGAUUGAUAGAAUGUGAGAUAAAGUAAAAUUAAAUCAUAUUUUGAACAUGGUAAUAAGACUUACAUUUACAAAGCAAUCAUGGAAGAACAAUCGAAGUAUAGAAGCCCCCAUCCGGGCUUCCUUUUGGAUAACUUUGAUCAUUUCAUUGCGCACAAUGGUUUGGAGAUUAGAGCAAGUUUUUGCAUAAAAGUUCGGAGAAAGUUGUGCAUUAAUGGUUGAACAAGCUAAGAGAGAAAAUAUAGAGAGUGUAACAAAGAAUUUAAUCAAGGUGGCCAUUAAUUAUCUAGCUUGAAGCUACCAAUGGAGGGAAGCAAAGGAAGUGUGUGAAUUGUGAAUGAAGAUACAUAUGAAAGAUUAUGCAAUAUAUAGAGGAAUUGUUGGGCUGACUGUGAUGGUGCAUGCAUAUUUGGAAUAUAAUAAUUUGUCCCAAUUUUCAAAUUUGUCUGCGCAAUAUAGGUUAUAAUUUAUAGUACUUUUAAAAAAAAAUUAGGGAAUCUCAGUGAGAGAAAAUUUGUGAGAUAAAGAUGAGUAUAUAAUAUGUUACUCAUCAGAGUAGUUGAAGCACUCCCAAUAAUAAAACAAAGAAAAAGCUGGAAAUAAUUGAAGACUGUGAAGCAUUAACAAAAGGGAGAAAAAGCAUAAAGUGUAUGAAAUAUUUCAAUAUCCAAUUUUUUUCAUAAAAGGAACGUGUUUGUUAAGUAAUUUAUAUUUGUUUUUGUCAGAAAAAAAAAGUAAUGAAUUGUUAUUCCAUAAUUGUUUUUUAGAGGAAUUAAUAAAUUGUUAUCUGUACUUAUAUUGCAACAGUCAAGAAAAAACUACAUGUCACAGAUCUGUCAUGUGCAUUUCUAUCUUUUAUGGCUCGCGGAUCCAUUUUGAAUGUUCAAACGUGUUAAAUUAAAUAAAAGAUUAGAAGUAAAUAAUUAAGUAAUUAAGUUUUGGCGAACACAAUGUAGCCUAACUUUUAGUUGGGUGUAGACAUGAUCUCAAUAGCAAGUGGUUACAUAUCAAAUUUAUAGCAUUUUUUUUUAAACAUAAUAUCAUUGCGCGUAACUACGAAGACUAAUCUUUUGAAACUUGUGAGACCUAAAUAGAUAACAAACUCUCAAGUGCACAUACAUUCAUAUACUUCUUUUAAUAAAUAAAAAAAUUGAUUUAAGAUUUUGAAAAAAUAUUGUCUCUUUAUAUAUAUAUAUAUAUAUAUAUAUAUUCUUAACCUCUUAAAAAGAUUAUCAAAUUUAUAAUUUAUUACAAAGUAUAAAAUCUAUGAAGCUAAUAGUAAUAACAGUAUAUUGUUCAUAUUUUAUUUUAUUAAACUGUUGAAAUUUUCUUUUAUUACUUAAUAUAUAAUUAAUGAUUUGUAAUAUGAGGAGAUGAUUGUUCAUAUAUUAUUGAACGUCCAUUAAAAAAAAAUUUAAUGAAUGCAAAGUGAGAAUCAUGUUCUUACCAAUUAAAAAAACAAUUGCGUGCCAUGCAAAAAUUCCAAUCAUUCAGCAUAAAUGCUAUCUAAUCAUUAACACUAUAAAACCAUUUUUUAUUGGACCCAGUCACCUACUAUUUUGACCUGUUUUUCCCUAGUUGUAUUAAUUCACGUAAAGCAACGUGAUUAGAAUGGGCACUUACGUAAUUUAUAUGAAGUUGUGAAAACCACUUAUAAUAAAAUACAAUGAAAAUCCUUCAAAAAAUUAAAAUAAAAUACAAUAAAAAUAGCUUGUGAUAAUUAAUUGAUGAAAAUUAUCUGUGGGAAAUAGGAAAGUUACCCCACAGCGAGUUAAUUAGUCAACACAUCUAAAGUCCUGUAAAUGUUUUUUUUUUUUUUUUUGCAUGGUUAAAAUCCUUAUUAAAAAAGUUUGAAAUAACAAUAUAAAAAGUAAUUUUUUAGCAGAUUUGGAAAGAGGCCAAUUUUUUACCAUAUGAGGGAAUUCCCAGGAAACUCACAUGUUAAGAGUUGAGUAUUUUUGUGUGAGGCUUUAGGGUUAGGAAUACAUUUUAAACACCAUGGUAAUGAGAAUUUAUUGGAGGAAGAUCUAAUGUUUCUCGCUUGUUUUCUUGUGUGAUUAUCAUCGAGGGUUGAAAGAAAACGAAAGAGACAAAAAUAGGGUUUGCUCUUGUUGAGACCUUGAAACUAAUUUCUUCUUACUCUUUUGUAUCUCUAGUAUAGACACGUUGAUAUUGGAAUGGAGAGAUGCUGUCUUUCUUCAAACAUAGGUCAAUUUAGGCCGAACUAAGUAAACAAUUCAUUGUUUGAUUUCUCUAGACAUAGGUUGUAGAUUUGUUCUUGGUUGAAGUUAGCAUUGAUUGAGAUGGUUAGUUUGGUUGCCAUUGCUAUUUGUUCCAAUUUCUUGUUGUAUCCUGGCUCCGAAGAAACAAAUAUUUCCAUUUGUACAUUAUAGGCACUAAAUGUGAUGUUGAAAUUCUUUUUUUUUUUUUGAAAUAAUCAAUUUUCUUGAGAUUGAAAAAAAUCUCACUUUGAUAAAACGAUUUGGUUUAUCUUCAUGGUCACAAAGGACAAACACAAAAUUUUGCCUUGAAAGAAACAUUUGAACAAAUUGGCUUUAAUCAUUCAAGUUAACUUGGUUUUUCACAAACCUAGACAUUUUCAAGGCUUCUUUAGUCAAUUGAGUUUUCACAAUAGUUUGAACAUGUUUCUUUAGUCAAUCGAGUUUUCACAUCUUUCUGCACCUCAGCUUCCCAUCUCCUCCAUGAAAUUGGGAUUGUUCACACUCUAGUAGUCCGAUCAGUUUCUACAGCUUCUAUAUGGGAUGAGCAAGGUCACUUGUUGACAACGUGCUUAACUGCUCAUCCUAUCUUUAAUAUGGAGUGACGUUGUAGGUCCUUAAAUAGGUAUGAAGAAAUUCUAAUCUUGAUUAUAACACUUAUGAUUUUUGUUUGAGCAGUACACAAUUGAGAAAGAAGAAAAAACAAUGCAACAUUUGAUUAAUCCAACAUAAAACUAGCAUUAUCCAUUCAUUGAUUUAUGUAAGACAAACAAUAUAUAAAGAUCUAGUCAGCCUUUAUGACUUUGACCCUCUACUUAAUCAAUUAUCCAAAUUCUCCAACACAAUAUUUAUUCAAUUGCUAAUAUGCCCUCCAAUUCAUGAUCAAUUAAUUCACAAGUCUGCAAUUCUUUCUAAUUUCCCCAUUAGUCCCUGUGAGAGGACUAAUUCUGCUCAUCUUCACCAUAGCAAAAGCAAAGUCUCUUCUAAAAGCAAAACCAUUUAUACUAUAAGCCCUAACCAAAGAAACUGGAGAACCAACACCAUUGAAAAGUGCUUGAUCAGAAUUAAGAAGUCCUUUAUUAGCAACUAGAUCCCUAUAAUAAUUGUUGUCAAAAGUAACAGGAGAGACAGAAUCAAGAGGAGCCAAAUUUGUGUCACCGCCAGAAAGAGGACAGUUUGCUUUUCUUAAGGUUGCAAAGUUUGUGUCGAUGUUGGUUUCAUUGUAUAUGCGAUUUCGGAAAAAUUGACAUUCUGCUUGGCCUAUGGUGUGUGCACCAGAAAGGACUGUAAGGUCUCUUAAUGUUAGACCUUUGUUUUGAAACAUUUUAGUGAGUGUGGAUAGGUCAGAAGCUGGUGAAGGGAUUUGGGUGUUUGCUGCACUUUGACUUGCUGUUCUUGCAUCUCUUCUUCCAAGUGGUACUAUCCAUGAAGGACCUCCAAGCUAUAUAGAUUAAUUGAAACAAGGUUAAUUAUUGUGAUUCAGAAAGUAAUGAUGAAUCAAAAUUCAAAACUAUAUGCAUAAAACACCAUAACAAUAAUUAAUAUAAAACAAGAAAAUAGAAUUAGCAAUUAAAGUUAGAGAAAUAAAAAAAAUCUAUAUUUUUUCUCUUUAAUCAUUAAAUUUGAUGACAUAGUUAGGGAAAUUUUAAAGAAAACUCAUGUUUCACAUUGAAAUAGAAAUAAGGUUUGAUUUGAGUUUAUAAAAAGUGACACUUUUAUCUUAAAAGUUCUUGUAAGAACAAAUUAAAUUCAACAUAUAAAGGAAGGAUUUAUGGUGCUAUUGCUAUACCCAGAGCCGGUCUUAAGAUUUUGUGUCUUGGGCAUAACAAUAUAAUUAUGUCCUUUUAAUUAUUUUAUGUUUCUUCUUGCAUUUUUUAUGAAAAAGAUUCAUUCAUAAUGAUAAUUAUUUAAAAAUAUAUUUUCAAUAGAAUUAAUCAAAUCAAGUUAAAAAAAUAAUAUGUAUCUAUACAAUACUAACUAUUAAGUAAAAAUAAUCAUUCUGGAGCCUUGAAAAAUUGAUGUAUGCCUCUCCAACCCAUGAUCAGGGCCACCCCCUUACUCCACCAUUUAUAUUUAGGCACCAAAAAUAAUGUCCUGAGCUAGAGAGAGAGAAAAAAGAUUCAAGUCUCGUAUUUUUUUUGUGAUGGUCGGGGUUUGAACCUCGAACCUUGCAUAUAUUAUACAUUAUCCAUUUCAACUGAGCUAAACACACAAGGACAAGUCGCGCAUUUAAUAAAACAUAAUGUUUGACUAAAGUUUAUAAAAGUGCACUGUGGUCUCAAAUUUUUUGUUGCUAAUUUCCUUUUCUAGUAUAAUGAGUGAUUUGAUCUGAUCUUGUCAUCUUGAUAAAGAGAGAUGGUUGACAAAAACUGGUCGUUUUUCUCUAAAAAAAAAAUAAAAAACUGGUCGUUUUAAAUGGUACUUGGCUAUUUUGUUUGUUUGUUUGUUUCUUUUCAUUUUUAUAAUUUGAUCUUGUUGUAUUAAGUUAUAUCUUUUUGUGAAAGAUAUCUAUCUUAUCUGGAGGACCCCAUAUACAACGACAAGAGUUAACAUGAUUACCCUCAAUUAUAUGUGAGAAAAAGUUAAGAGAAAGUGGCAGACAUGGUUUGAAAACAAGCUCAUGCCAAAAACAAUGUAAUAGGAAAAAAUUAAACAUUCUCAAGCAUAAUUAUUUAUUUGCCUUUCUUUUAUCACAAAAUAAAAAUAUAUGUCUAAUAAAAGGAAAGAAAGAAAGAAAUGAUGGGUGACGAACCAGAGCAAUUCCAUCUCUAGUUGCAAGUGCAAGAAUAUCAGCACAAGAGACAGUGGCACUGCAAGCAGCUUCAACACUAGUUUUAAUUGCAUCAAUCACUUCAAAACCCCUAGCUGAAUUUUUGUUAGGUCCAGCAUUUUUCUCACCGGUAAAUGUGGAAGUGUCAUCCAAUAAGAUUGAUCCAUCACAUCCCUACAAAAUUAGCAAAUAAAUUGACAUGUUAAUGUCUAAUGCAAAUAAACAAAUUAUUUUUCAACAUUAAUAGUAUCUUAAUGUGAGCUUACAUUUACAAAGCAAUCGUGGAAGAACAAACGAAGUAUAGAAGCACCAAUCCGAGCUUCAUUAUUGAUAGCUUUGGUCAUUUCCCUGCGCACUAUGGUUUGAAGGCUAGGGCAAGUUCUUCCAUAGAAGUUAGGAAAAAGUUGUGCAUUGGUAGAACAAGCAAAGAGAGAAAGAAUAGAGAGUGUAACAAAUAAUUUGUUUAAGGUCGCCAUAUUCAAUAUAAAAAUAUCUAUUAUGCUUUAAGCUACCAAUGAGAGAAGCUAAGGAAAUGUGAGGAUUAAUUGUGAAGAAGCAUAUGAAAUAUUAACCAAUAUAUAUAGAGGAUUUUUUUUUUUUCUCUCGAGAGGAUACAGAGGGAUUUGUAUAGGCCAUUAUUACGACGGUGCAUGCAAAUAAUAGUAUAACUUGUCCCAAAUUUUCAAAGAUAUCUCCUCAAUACGCGCUUUGUAUAUACUCCUUUUAAUUUUAUGGAUAAAACUUGUGAAAUAAAGAUGAAUACGAUGGUUACCCAUUAGUUGACUUACCUAAUAAUAAAACAAAAGAAAAAAGCUGCAAAUAAUGGAAGAUUGUGAAACUAAGUGUGAAAAAAGCAUAAAGUAUGAAGUAGUCGUUGCUGGGUCGACAUAUACAUGUGUUAAUAAAGUGGAAAAAGGCAUUUCAUGAUACAAUAGUUUUUAAAUAAAACCAAAAUAUUAAGCAAUGUUUAAGUUUUGGAUCGAAUGACCAAUUCAAUUGAGAAUCGGUUUGGGUUGAUUUUUUCUUCUUCUUCUUCUUCCAAUUAUAUUGUAGAGUUGUUGAACAAGUUGAAAUUUGGUUCAAUAGUGGCUAAGUAUAACAUUUUUAUUUUAUUUUUAUAUCUGUUAUUUUGAUCAAGUGAUUGAACUUACAUUACUGUAUGCAAGUUCUUUAUUUAUUUUAUUUACUAAAAAUAAAUAAUAUUCAUUUAUUCAAAUUGUUAGAUUAUAUCAAUACAGUAAAAAUUCAUUAAAAAUAAAAAUGUUGAAUUUGUGAACAAACUCAUAACAUCAAAAUUGAUAUCAUAAAACAACAAAGUACAUAAAUUUACAAAAGUUACACUUAUUGAUUUCUUAAACAAUUUAUUUUGAAAACUUACUUUUUUUUUUGAGAGGAUCUUUAAUUAAGAGCAGUUGUUAUUCUUAGUUUUUUUUUUAGGAGUAGGGCACAUUUUUUAUAAGCAAAAUUUUAUUAAAACAAGGAUAUGAGAUACUUGAAAUCCAAUACAAAUAAGUCAAGAAAUUACAUGCUUCGAAGACAUCCAAUUGGGUCCAACCACCAUUAUGAGAAAACAAAUUUUUUAUUACGUCCCUCCUCACAAAUGAACCAAGAUCCCAGUAGACGUUUUAUACGAUCGACCAUCCCUUAAAAAUAUUUACAACUUUACUUUUAAAAAGAAUAUUAUAACGCUCCAUCCAAAUAUACCACACCGUUGUUGAAAAUACGAGGUGAACAACUUUUUCCUUGUUAGUGUUAUUAGAUAAUGAAAUGUUAGAUACAUGUCAUAAUAACAACAGUCAAGAAAAAUCUACUUCUCAAAGAUCUGGCAUGUGCAUUUCAUUCUUUCGUGGAUUGCGGAUCCAAUUUGAAUGUUUAAAGUGUUAAAUAAAGAUUAGAUAAACAUUUAAUUUUUUGCAUAAAUAUUAUUUGCAACUUUAUUGUUUGUUCAAAUUUUAUUUUGCUAUCAGUCAAAAAAACCUCUUAUUUUAUUUUGCUACAUCAAUCCUUCUCCUACGCAUAUUUAGGUAGUGCUAAACAAAAGAACGUAGCAUGUUCUUACCAAAUAAAAAAUUAAUAACGUGCCAUGCAAAAACUCCAAUCAUCCAUUCAGUAUAACUGCUAUACUAAUCAUUAACACUAUAAUAACAUUUUUGUUGGACCCAGUCAGUUAUUAGUUUGACUAGCUAUUCACACUAGUACGUAGCUGUAUAUAUGCAUGUAAAGCAACUUAAUUAGAGUUGAGUUAAUCAGUCAAACACAUCUUUGUGUUAGUUAUUUUCGGAUCUGACAAUUAAUAUUAAUUGGUGAAUUUUUCUCAUAUCGGAUACCGACUUAUGUCUGGUACUGGUAAAUGGCACUUCGCAUAGUCAAAAUCAUUUCAAAUAGUGUGUAGGUAAGAUGAUUUGAUGAAUUGCAUUUCUAAGAAGUAAUUCCUAUAGUAUCGAUAGUUAAAUGUGUUAUCAAACAUUUAGAAAUAUUGUACAACAAGUGUGAGUUGAAUAUGAAGGAUUUAUAAGUUCAAUUAAUGUCUUGAGGUUUUUGGUUAAUCAUUACUCGAGACUUUUAAGACUAUAUUCUUUAAAAAAUAUAGUCGAUUUUCUUUCGACUAGUAUGAAGCCAAAUCCCCUCUCUAAAGUUUGGCCUAACUUUUUUGAAGGACAUAGUCGAUUUCCAUACAACAUCACCAAUUUUACAAUUGUUCGUUAAAAUUUUCUCUUCAACUUGAGUGAUACUUUCAUAUCACAUAAAACGUCAGAGACUAUUCUCAAUUUCAACCAUCAGAUUUGGAUUCAAUUAUUUACAUAUGCUUCCAUCUCUUCGUCAUUUUGUACUACACACCUUAGAUAUUCAAAUUAUGUAACUUCCGGUCUAAAAUUAUCUUCAACUUUCACCUCUAAAGUAGAACUACUUCGCCUUUUAGAUAGAACUACAUUUCACACACUCUGUCUUACUUCCACUCAAGCGAAAGCCAUACGUUUCUGAGGCUUGUCUCGAAGCCUCCAAACUCCCAUUCAAUUCCUCCACCAACUCUUCAAGCAGGACUACAUUUACAAAAAAAACAUAUGUUUAGAUGGUAGCUAAAAUUAAGGAAACAAAUGUUGCACCCUCAAUUCUAUUAUCUAAGUAUGCUUUUCUUCACCACUUAUUUGAGUUUAUCUACUAUCAUAAACAAUUUAUGGAGAGUGGAGGUAACAUGUUUAGAUGUUUAAAACAAAUUUUAUAGCUAGGUUUCAAAGUAAAAUAAAAAUAAAUUAAAAAAAGUUUUGUCAAGUGCAAAGUUUGAAUUUGGAUUAGAGAAGAUAAAAGACGUUCUUGGUUAACUGAGUUGAACAAACAUUUAUAAUUAAUCUGUCAUAUUAUAUAUUUAUAACUGAAGUUAAUUUUUUUUAACCUUAGCCUAAAGUUUUGAGAUCUAAAGCCUUAACUUGAGCUAUUUGGCCCUUGGGCCGAUCCUAAAUUUAUGACAUGACACGUAUGUGUAUUGUUUUAAAAUUAUUUCAUUAAGCUCCCUCUAGGGUAGUUUAUUAAUCAAGACAACUUAUAUCUUAUAAUAAAAAAAAAAGUCAUGCUAACUUGCGCCCUUAUGUCCAAGUUAAGAAACUAAAAAAGGAAUUAAAAUUAAAGUCAACUUUUGUAUUGAAAAGCUAAAAUAUUAAACUUUUAAGAUAUUAAAUCCACAAAUUUUAAAAAAAAACUUCCAAGUUUAGUUUAUAAACUUGUGCCUCAAGACACUAGUUAACAUUUUCGUUAACAACUAGUUACAAACCCGUGCUUCGCACGGGUUCAAUAAUAUAUUCGAUAAAAAAAUUCUUCGAAAGAAGAGAUGUUAAAACGACGGAACAUUGUGAUUCAUCAUAAAAUAUGUAUGAGCUGAUUAAGAGAGUUAGUUUAUGUGAUUGGAAUUUGACAUAAUAUUUAUGAUGAAAACAAUUGGAACCAAUAAAGGAAACAAUGAUGUGGGAAUUAUGAUUACAUAUUAUUCAAAAUUAUAAAAAAGAGUGUUGUUGUUAUAAAGUUACCAAAAAAUGAUUGAUACCCAUAUUUAAAACAGAUGAAAUCAAGCAAAUAAGUAGCAUCAGUGAGUGAAGAUAAUCUAGUAUAUGAUUAGAAUUAAGGUGAUAUGUUGAACGUGCGGAUCAUGAAUACCAAAUCUUUAUUUGGGAAUGACUUGAACGUGCAUAUUUUUGGGUGGCUUCUCUAGGUCAAAAAUUAGCUUAUCACCUACCUCAUAUGUUCUCGGCAAAAGUUGAACCAUUGGCCGCCUAAGUAUUUUUCGUAACUUGCUCUCUUUGCCGACACUUAUACCUUUUUUGAGCUUGUUUGUCGAUGAGUGUGAUUGUUUUUCGUGUUCCUUUUAGAAAUGUCCUUGAUAUCUCAUUUGGAAAGUGCUAGGUACAAAACAAAUUGCAGUGUUAAUUAUAUAUAUAUAUAUAUAUAUAUAUAUAUAUAUAUAUAUAUAUAUAUAUAUAUAUAUAUAUAUAUAUAUAUAUAUAUAUGUACAUUUCUAAAACAUUUACCAAAGCAUUAUAAAGAUUUGCUGGAGGAAAAGAGCAUGUUCUAUUUUAUUCAAGAGAUUGGGAAAACAACAUUAUAAUUAACAUGAUACUAAUUGGAACCAAUGAAGGAACCAACAAUGUGCAGAUUAACGUUACAUAAUAGUUAGAUUUAUAAAAGAGAAUGCAAGUGUCAUAGACUAACCAAAAAGGGAUUUUUGUCAAUAUUUACAUCAGACAAAAUGAAAAGAACAAAUGGCAUCCCAAAGUCAAUAUAGUUUACGAUUACAGUCCAAAGCGAUACGUCAAAAUAAAAGAUGUUCAAAUAGUUAAGCACCAAAGAUCUACUUUUGAACAACUCGAACGUGCAAGUUCUUCCGUGACUUUUCGAGAUCAAAGAUGAGCUUACCACCUUCUUCCAUCACACCAAUCAACUUUCGUACGGCUCAAUGAUAUAGGAAAGAAUGAACCAAAUAUAAAAACUAUUACAACUUUAGGAUUACUCACAAAAACUAAAAUAACCCACAUGCAUAAAAAAAAAUCAACUACACUACCAGAACCUAAAAUAACAAUUGUGUCAAAACCUUACCAUAACAAAGAAAGAUUUUUCUACAGUCAUGCAACACAAUAAUUUCUGGUACAUAAUUCACUAACAAUUGAAAAAAAAAAAGAAAAAAAAAACCCUUAAAAUGCAGAAUCGUGAAAAAAGGAAUAAAAGUAUAUAUGAUGAAGUAAAAACUAAAACAGUGUCGAAAAGUGAACCCCUCAAACCAUAAAAAUCAGUCAACUCAAGUCAUGCAUGGUCUAAGAACCAUGAAAAAAUAAAGAAAAUGACCUCUUAUGAAGAAGAAAGUGAAACAUUGUUCCCAGCUGAACUUAGAUACGGCAAAUGUUUUUUACGAUCUAAAAGUUACUUUAAAACAAAGUUAAAAUAAAGGCCUUUAAGAAAGAAACUAAAGUUGUUUGUUUUCUUUAUUUUUUUAGUUUUAAAGCUACUUUUAAGUUAAAUGUUGUUUGGAAAAAUAUUGUACAAACUUUGAAUUUUUUUUUUUUUAUGGUGUCCGGGGUUCGAACCCCGGACUUGGCAUAUAUUUAUGAAUUGUUCUUAUCAUCUGAGCUAAACUCACGAGGGCAAAACUUUGAAUUUAUUAUGAAUGAAAAUAAUAAAUAAAUAAAAUGUUUAAAAUACUUUCUGAAGGCUAAAAAUGUUAAAAAAUAAAAGAUAUUUUUUUUUACAAAGACUACAUUUACGCAAUAACGUUUAUUUUGUGUAACAUGAAUACAAAUCUGUAUCAUCAUAUAAAUGACUUGUUAAAUAUAUUUUUUUUUUGUGGUGGCCAGAGUUUAAACCCCGGACCUUGCAUCUAUUAUGCAUUGUCCCUAUCAACUGAGCCAAACUCACGAGGAUACUUGUUAAAUAUUUGAAUAGGAGAAACAAUUUAAGGAGUCUGAAAUAAUAACAUAAAUAAUAUCAAAAUAGUUGGUUUUUUCUAUUUCAAUUAUACUCUAUAACUAAUUUCAUUAUAAGAAUAUCAUAUUUUUUUGUGUCUUUCAAAAAGAUAAGAAUUUAUAUUAUAUGAUAUUAUAUUUGUUACAUUGUUGGUGUCAUGGAAACAUAUGUUUGUUUUUUUGAAUAAGAAAAAUAUAUGCAUAGUUUGUUAAUUACAAUAUAAAGGUGCAAAAUAUAUAUAUAUAUAUAUAUAUAUAUAUAUAUAUAUAUAUAUAUAUAUAUAUAUAAAAGUAUAAUUUUUUUAGGCAUCUAGACUUUUUUUGAAGAAAAGACAUCUACAAUUUUACUUUUAAUUAAAAUCAAAAUUUUAUAAAAAUAAUCAUACGCAUUAUGCAACACCAAAAAAUAUUAUACGCAUUAGGGUAACAAAAAAACAUACAAACAUAAGGUAUUACUCUAAACACUAAUGUGUGUGUGUGUGUGUAUUUGCGAGUUUGAAAAGGAAAAUAAAAAUAUUUGGUAUCAUUAGAUGACAGUGUGAAUAAAAAUAUUUGUGAUGAUUAAACUAUAUUAAAAUUAAAUAUAUAAGUGGUAAAAAGAUAAUAAAAUUCCUUUGAAAAAAGAUAAUAAAAUUAAAUGGAACGGUUCAAAAAAAAUAAAGUUAAAUGGAAAAAAAUUGAAAUAUAAUAUUAAAAAAUAAAAAAAAGGUUCUAGCGUGAGUUGAAGAGAGGUGCUUGUGAAAUAAAUUAUUGAGAAGUAGGUUUUUAAAGUAACAUUCAAGAAAUUUUGGCCAAAGCUCAUUCUAUUCAAUUUUAUGCAUUCAAAAAUAUAUAUAUAUUUUUUUUAGUAAGUAUUUAAUUGAUACUGUGUUUGACCUAACUUCUCCUUAAAGAUGUAGAGAAGUUGGAAAAAAGCCGGGUCAAACGAUAUUUUAAUCUUCCACAACGACAAUGUAGAAGCAACUGAAUUCAGGAGAAAAAAUUGAAAAAUAGUUAAAAACAUAAAAAUUGGAAAAUAGUUAAAAGUUAUUAAAAAUAUAAAAUUAUAAAAUAAUUUUAAAAAAUUGAUAAGGGACAAAAUGGUAAAAUGCACCCAUAAAAAGGUGAGGUGGCAACAACCACAUCCCACCAAAUAUGAAAUUACAAAAAUGCCCCUCUUAGGGGCAAAAUGGUAAAAUUAUAGGGAAUUAAUUUUUAUAUAUAGUAAGUAGAUAUUAACAUUUUUUUUUAUCUUUUACUAUAAAAAUAACUUUAAUACAAAUUAAACACUCAUAUUUUAAUAAAUGUUUAUCCAAACAGAGGCACAAUUGAGAAAUAAGAAAAAACAAUGCAACAACAUUUGAAUCCAACACAAAACUAGCAUUUUCCAUUCAUUGAUUUAAGUAAGACAAACAACAUAUAUAUUUGUGGAACUACAAACAUUGAAACUAUCAAAUUAAAGUAGCAUCAACAAUACUACAAUUGCCAAUGUGUCCAAGAUCUAGUCAACCUUUAUGACUUUGAUUAUCUAAUUAAUCAAUUAGUUCACAAGCCUGCAAUUCUUUCUAAUCUCCCCAUUAGUCCCAGUUAGAGGACUAAUUCUACUCAUCUUCACCAUAGCAGCUGCAAAGUCUCUUUUAAAAGCAAUAUUAUUUCUACUAUAAGUCCUAACCAAAGAAACUUGAGAACCAACACCAUUGAAAAGAGCUUGAUCAGAAUGAAGAAGUCCUUUAUUAGCAACAAGGUCAUUAUAGUAAUUGUUGUCAAAAGUAACUGGAGAGACAGAAUCAAGAGGUGCCAAAUUUAUGUCACCACCAGAAGUAGGACAAUUUGAUUUUCUUAAGGUUGCAAAGUUUGUGUCAAUGUUGGUUUCGUUGUAUAUACGAGUUCUGAAAAAUUGACAUUCUGCUUGACCUAUGGUGUGUGCACCAGAAAGGACAGUAAGGUCAUUUAAUGUUAGACCUUUGUUUCUAAACAUGGUAGUGAGUGUGGAUAGGUCAGAAGAUGGUCCUGGAAUUUGGCUAUUUGCUGCACUUUGACUUGCUGUUCUUGCAUCUCUUCUUCCAAGUGGUACUACCCAUGAAGGACCUCCAAGCUACAAAAUAAAUUAAUUAUUGAGAUUAAGAAAGUCAUGAUGAAUCAAAACUAGUAUAAAGCACCAUAAGACUAUAGUUUAUAUUUGGUAUUUGUAUUUUGUACUUGCUUUUUUGGAAUGGAUAUAUAUAACUAAAAAAUAGAAUUAGCAAUUAAAUUUAGAGAAAAUA